GGCUGCAUCAAACUAGAGAGAGCACGACGCCCGCGUUAGCCCGCGAGCUAACCAGUGACGUCAAACACGAACCAAACUUGAACGGUUAUUCUUUUUUUUAAGGGGGGAAAAAUGGUGAAACAGACGAUACAGAUAUUUGGUCGCAUUAAACCCUCUAAGAAAACUACAGGGCUUUUCUCCUCUCCCCUGGGGCGACGCUGAGCGGAGGUGAUAUUGCAGAGCUUGACCGGUGUACUCGGUGGACAACGAGGAGCCAACAGGUGCUUCUUUGGAGUUUCUGGUGCCCAGGGAUGUGGCUGAGGGCUUUGUUAACAACAAGAGGGAGUGCUACAAGUUCAGAUUCCUAAAGGUGUUUGAUCAAGCUGUCCAACAAGAAGAGAUAUUUAAUAACAUUGCCAAACCAGUUGCCGACAGGUACAGUCUUAUUGUACUUCUCAAAAUGACAAAUGUAAAUACAGGUUUAUAUUAAUGCCACGUACAUUUUGAAAGUUGAUGUCUUUAAACUCUUUGUCACCCCUUAAAACUACCUACUUUGAUUAUCCCAUUCACAAAUCCCUGCCCACCUGUGGCCAGCAGCGCUCAGCUCUCCAUGCUGAGCUCAGGGCCACACAGGCUUUUUAAGCGUCCUUGUUGACAGGAAGUUAGUAAAGCUCAGCUUUCUUUUAAGAUGGAAAUGGAGGGUGUCUGUGAUUUUUGGCGUGCUUUGCAUACUUUAACCACUAAGUGGACCGAGCUGGCAGGCGAGAUGGCACACUGUGCCAUCGUGAGUGUGAGAACAUUUCCAAGCCACAACACAAAGCUAUGUUGUAGCUGCUCACUCAUUUUGAGCUGUUGUUUCAUCCGUCAUGCAUGAGGAUCACAUUCAUUAGAGUAACCUGCAGAAAACUUUGGCCCUCAAGAUCAACACUACAAGUCUUUUGUUAGUACUGUUCAAUUUAGGGAAAUAGGGGUUCAUCUAGGCCUGUUUUUAAAUGUAAAAAUGUGAAAUAUAUUUUAGAUACUGAUAUGCCAGAUAUAUCUGGAUGACUUUAUUUGUAAAAGGCAGAAUGAGAAAGUUUUUGCUGAAAACAAAUAAGAUAAUUAAUCCCCCUCCAUCAUCACUUAUGACCCACCAGAAGUGUGUGGAGGUGUGUGUAUCUGCAGAGAGACCCUGCCCUCUGCCUGCCUUAUUUUGCCGUGUUCGGCACGUUUCUGGUCGUCUGCCCUUAAAAAUGUAGUGACCAGGUAUCAGAUCACAAGCACACAUCCAAGGGGAAGCUGCAAAAAUAACUAACACAGAUAUAGUGAGGCGAACCACCAGGCAGAGAAAGCUCGUUCAAAAACGAGAGUUAAUCCGGGAUUGGCUUUAACACAUUAAACCCUAAGGCAGGGGUCUUCAAUGUUUUUCAGGCCAAGGACCCCCAAACUGAUAGAGAGAUGGAGCAGGGACCCCCGACUAUAUAUAUAUUGUAUAAAAUUGUGUUUUAUAUUAAAUGGGCGUAGUACCGUGUAUACUUCAUUGUGCAUUCAAUACUAAGCUAUUCAAAUAAUACACAGGUUCAUAUAUUCAUGCUUUUCUUUUA
Anarrhichthys ocellatus (wolf-eel) is the source of this 1562-nucleotide RNA transcript. It is a transcript of the gene named kinesin-like protein KIF6, with no coding region annotated. The transcript has 4 exons. The record is from RefSeq and is a predicted model, not a curated record. Lineage: Eukaryota; Metazoa; Chordata; Actinopteri; Perciformes; Anarhichadidae.